AGGCCUGCGGGUUGUAAAGCACUUYCMGUAGAGAAGAAAAGCUCUGGGUUAAUACCCCGGAGUCUUGACGUAACCUACAGAAGAAGCACCGGCUAACUCCGUGCCAGCAGCCGCGGUAAUACGGAGGGUGCGAGCGUUAAUCGGAAUUACUGGGCGUAAAGCGCGCGUAGGCGGCUAGGUCAGUCGGAUGUGAAAGCCCCGGGCUUAACUUGGGAAUUGCAUUCGAUACUGCCUGGCUAGAGUAUGGGAGAGGGAAGUGGAAUUUCCGGUGUAGCGGUGAAAUGCGUAGAUAUCGGAAGGAACACCAGUGGCGAAGGCGACUCCCUGGCCCAAUACUGACGCUCAGGUGCGAAAGCGUGGGUAGCGAACAGGAUUAGAUACCCUGGUAGUCCACGCCGUAAACGAUGAGAACUAGAUGUCGGGAGGAUUUGCCUCUCGGUGUCGCAGCUAACGCAUUAAGUUCUCCGCCUGGGGAGUACGCCGGCAACGGUAAAACUCAAAGGAAUUGACGGGGACCCGCACAAGCGGUGGAGCAUGUGGUUUAAUUCGAUGCAACGCGAAGAACCUUACCUGGCCUUGACAUCCUCGGAACUUUCCAGAGAUGGAUCGGUGCCUUCGGGAACCGAGUGACAGGUGCUGCAUGGCUGUCGUCAGCUCGUGUCGUGAGAUGUUGGGUUAAGUCCCGCAACGAGCGCAACCCUUGUCCCUAGUUGCCAUCAU
Molecule: ribosomal RNA, 720 nt
Filed under: uncultured bacterium
Lineage: Bacteria
Description: bacterial SSU rRNA
Rfam family: Bacterial small subunit ribosomal RNA
Source: RNAcentral